CGCUGAAAUUUCGAUCAUAAU
This 21-nucleotide microRNA is filed under the name Solanum tuberosum (potato). Its description in RNAcentral is "stu-miR8046-3p". The record is from miRBase by way of RNAcentral. Lineage: Eukaryota; Viridiplantae; Streptophyta; Magnoliopsida; Solanales; Solanaceae.